CCCUGCACUCUGGGACAAGCCCUGGAAACGGGGUCUAAUACCGGAUAACACCCGCCGAGGCAUCUCGGUGGGUUGAAAGCUCCGGCGGUGCAGGAUGAGCCCGCGGCCUAUCAGCUUGUUGGUGGGGUGAUGGCCUACCAAGGCGACGACGGGUAGCCGGCCUGAGAGGGCGACCGGCCACACUGGGACUGAGACACGGCCCAGACUCCUACGGGAGGCAGCAGUGGGGAAUAUUGCACAAUGGGCGAAAGCCUGAUGCAGCGACGCCGCGUGAGGGAUGACGGCCUUCGGGUUGUAAACCUCUUUCAGCAGGGAAGAAGCGAAAGUGACGGUACCUGCAGAAGAAGCGCCGGCUAACUACGUGCCA
Molecule: ribosomal RNA, 367 nt
Filed under: Streptomyces blastmyceticus
Lineage: Bacteria; Bacillati; Actinomycetota; Actinomycetes; Kitasatosporales; Streptomycetaceae
Description: bacterial SSU rRNA
Rfam family: Bacterial small subunit ribosomal RNA
Source: RNAcentral